GGGGAUGAUAGGUCUCGACGGAGGUGGAAAACACUGGUUCGCAAGCCGAGAGGCGCCGAACUCGCAAAAUCAGCGUACAAGAUAAGUGCCAAAAACACAAACUACGCCACCCUUCCGCUCGCCGCUUAAGGCUUGAGGAAAGUUGGAAAGACUCUACAAAUGAUGGAGUCCGCUUACUGGAUCCACCCUAUGCUGGAGAAAGAUAAGCGUCAAAAACGCGUAGGUGCGACUUAGGAAACCACGAACUAAGUCAAAGAUGGCCUUUCGGGGCUAAGUGGUUAGUGAAUUGUGAUCACUUGGUUGUGUGGGUUCCAGUUCACGAAUAAAAACACAUAACUAAGCUUGUAGAGAUUCAGUGAUUGAAUCCUUCGGACGCGGGUUCGAUUCCCGCCAUCUCCACCU
RNAcentral lists this transfer-messenger RNA (402 nucleotides) under Anaerolineales. RNAcentral describes it as "MGNI01 sp001795115 Standard tmRNA". It matches the Rfam family "transfer-messenger RNA". Rfam says of the family: Bacterial tmRNA, also known as 10Sa RNA or SsrA, is named for its dual tRNA and mRNA-like properties. Its role is to liberate the mRNA from a stalled ribosome. To accomplish this part of the tmRNA is used as a reading frame that ends in a translation stop signal. The record is from RNAcentral. RNAcentral also lists the same sequence under 1 other name. Lineage: Bacteria; Bacillati; Chloroflexota; Anaerolineae.